Molecule: ribosomal RNA, 385 nt
Filed under: uncultured bacterium
Lineage: Bacteria
Description: bacterial SSU rRNA
Rfam family: Bacterial small subunit ribosomal RNA
Source: RNAcentral
GCUUAACGCGAAGAACCUUACCUGGUCUUGACAUGUCUGGAAUCCCGAAGAGAUUUGGGAGUGCCGCAAGGAACCAGAACACAGGUGCUGCAUGGCUGUCGUCAGCUCGUGUCGUGAGAUGUUGGGUUAAGUCCCGCAACGAGCGCAACCCUUGUCCUUAGUUGCCAUCAUUUAGUUGGGAACUCUAAGGAGACCGCCGGUGACAAACCGGAGGAAGGUGGGGAUGACGUCAAGUCAUCAUGGCCUUUAUGGCCAGGGCUACACACGUGCUACAAUGGCAGGUACAGAGGGAAGCCAACCAGCAAUGGGGAGCCAAUCCCAGAAAAGCCUGUCUUAGUCCGGAUUGGAGUCUGCAACUCGACUCCAUGAAGCUGGAAUCGCUAGU